UCCUGGAUAAGAAAUGAGUUAUUAUAGCCUCCUAAAUUUUAUAUAAUUGUGUUAUAAUAACUUGUAUUUGUGGUGUAAAUUACUUUCGUUUAAAUAUUAUUUACUGUAGCAAGAGAUAUGUAGUUAUUAUAAUCUCGUCGUUUUCGUUUGCUGAUAUUGAUGUUUUUGUGUGAAAGCAGUUAUUUCUUAAGUUCAGUGGUGAAUAUGUUUGGAAAAGUUAUGGGCCCAAAGUACGAUGGCAAAUACUUGAGAUCAUUGAUAAACAGAUUGCUUGGAGAUAUAACACUUAAGGAAACACUAACGCAAGUCAUUAUUCCUGCUUUUGACAUUAAGCUUCUUCAACCUGUGAUUUUCAGCACACUCGAUGUAUGAAAAUUUAAUUAAAAACGAUUUGAUAAACAGUUUAUAUUCCUUUAAUUUUUUUCAAUAAUAAAUAAAUUGGAGGAAUUAAUUAUUCAGGCAAAAUGGGAUGCGUUAAAGAAUCCAAAACUGGCUGAUGUUUGUAUCAGUACCUCCGCCGCUCCCACUUUCUUACCUGGCCAUGAAUUUCAAACUAAGGACUCUAAGGGAAAUACUCGUAACUUCGAUAUGGUUGAUGGUGGAGUUGCUGCAAAUAAUCCAGUAAGAUCGACCUUCCUUCCCCAUAUUAGAUAAUUAGUUAAAUUUGUCUCUUUACUCAUAAAGCUUAAUUUGUUAAAUUUGUCUUUUUACUCAUAAAGCUUAAGCUUCUGGAUUGAGUUAUUUGUGAUUUAAGACUCGUUUUGGUGGAUGUAUAACUAAUAAUAUAUAUAUGUGUGUGUGAUGGUUGAUUGUUUAGACAUUGGCUGCAUUGACUCAUGUGACAAAAGAGAUGAGCAUCUUGAGAAAAAGAAGUGAACUUCUGAAAAUAAAACCAAUGGAAUCAAAAAGGAUGUUGAUCCUUUCUUUGGGAACUGGUGUGGCUAAAAAUGAUGAGAAGUAUAGUGCAGCUAUGGCUUCCAAAUGGGGUAUGCUUGGUUGGAUCUAUCAUAGAGGAGCAACACCAAUUGUUGAUAUUUUUAGUGAUGCAAGUGCAGAUAUGGUGGAUUAUCAUAUUUCUAGCGUCUUCCAAUCUGAACAUAAUGAUAGAAAUUAUCUUCGUAUUCAGGUAUACAAUAAUUUUAAAUUAUGAUCUUCGUUAAUUAUAACUAAAUCAAAUCAGCAUGUUUUUGAUAAGGAUAUUGUGUGAUAUCUGGAAACAGGAUGACACAUUGAGUGGUGAUGUUUCGUCCGUGGAUAUUGCAACCCAACAAAACUUAUUAAAGCUCAUUGAGGUUGGAGAGAGUUUACUGAAGAAACCAUUAUCAAGGGUAAAUUUGGAAUCUGGAAAGUUUGAGGCACUUGAUGGAGAAGGAACUAAUGAAAAAGCACUUGCAGAAUUUGCUCAAAUGUUGUCUGAUGAGAGGAAACUACGAUUGAGCCCUUGAGGCUAUCUAAUUCCCAUUUCAUCAAUUUAUGCUUCUUUCAUGUUUUCAUCUUCAACCCCCCUUUUUUUUCUGUCUUCCAUAGAUACGUCACUUCUUUUAAGCCUUUCAUACUUUAGUCCAGUAAAUUGUAAAAAUACUUGUAAUAAUUUUUUUACACCCUGUUGUUGUUUUAUUUUUCUCUUUUGUAUUUCACCCUUUCUAGUUUUAAUCGAUUCUAUAUAUUGUUGGCGUGGUUUCCUAGAAACUUUCGUAGAAUGUACAUAAAUGUGGACAAAAUAAGUAAAGGACAAGUGAAUAUGAAUUUCUGUUGAGUUCUAGACCUAGUUUGGUACACAGAGCCCUGCCAAUCCAGCUAGAUGGAUAACAACACUCUGUUGUGGGCAAAAAUGUUUUAAUUUUAACAAUUUAAAACACUUUUUACACAAGUCCACACAUAAAGGUUUUAAUAUACAACGCUUAGUUGUAAAUCACUUUUUAGUUUCUUUUUUCAAAUUAUUUAAUGUCGGUUUAAAACCAAUAUUAAUGGCCUUUUGUGUUGGUUGACAACCGACAUUUAUGCUAGCGUUAUUAAAGGUCUUUAAUGUCGUUUCUAGUUUGAUGUCAGUUUAAAACGACAUUAAAGGCCUCAUUAAUGUCGGUUUAAUAGAACAAUUUUGAAAAAGAAAAAAAAGGUCACAUGUCCAUAGGCCACAAUGUGAAAUAUAAAAAAUAUCUCAAUCAACACACAAUUAAUUGGUUACAUGAACACGAGUAAUCUUCUUCUAGACGAUCGUGUAGUUAAUUUUAAACAAUGGAAAAAUAGUCUUCAAAUUUAAAUGAUUAGACGAUAAACUAUAAAUGAUGGCGAGACAAUUUCAUACAUAAACGAUCACAAAAGAAGAAGAAUAAGAAGUAAAGAAGUGCACAACUCGUCCCACAAUAUUAAUAUUCAAAACCAACAACGAUACAUGAAAUUUAUAAAAAAUAAUUGUACAUAAUGAGUUUUUCUUAUUUUGUUAUACGAACCAUAAAUAUUUAGGGUUUUGUUACAUUUAUCUAAACUAUCAUUAUACUUAAUUUUAAUUUUCAAUAAUUAAAGAGCUAUUUUAAAUAAUAAUAAUGUAUUAAAACUAUUUGCAAAAUUUAUGGAACUAUAUGUUCUAUAAAUAUAAUUUUAUUUUUAUGGCUCUCUAUAACAAUUUUUCAAACUAAAAGUUCACCUGAUGGAGCAUAAAAAAAUUUAAUCUAUUUAUAGAAUAUUGCAAAAUCAAUCAAAUUCUAUACAACACAUUAAAAUUUGACGAUUCGUUUUUAAAUAUUUAUUUUUACUUUAUUUUAUAAAUAUUUUCAAUUUUUUAAUUCAUUUCUCCAAAGAGAAUCUAAAAUUAUAUAUUAUUAAAUGACUUCCCUCUUCCCUUGGUUGAAGGAAAAUAUGAAACAUAUCUAUUAAAUGUGUGAGUUUGAGUUAUAUUAUUGAAUCUGGGAUUGCCUAAGAUCAAUCAAAUUUGUGUAAUAAAUCUCUCACUAAUCGAGGAGGCAAUAAAGGAACACAUAAUAGAAUUAGUGAAAAAUAUACCUUUAAAGAUUACAAAGCUUCAAUAUUACAUUAACUAUACCUUUAAAGAAACAACCGAACAAGAAAAGAGAAAUAAUAGAAUUAGUGAACUACAUUUAUAAAAGCAAAUUUUUAAUAUAAGUUUAUUAUUGAUCAUUUUAAAAUUUUAGUAUAUUUUUAUAAAUAUUGAGAUUUUUGUCCUUUUUUUUAAAAUUCUUUUUAUAUGGAAAUAUGUUGUUGGGAUUCAAAUAUUUGAAACCUAUAUUUUAGGAAUGUAGAUUUGUAUUUGUUAAUGAAUAAUUUGGAGAAGAUACAUUCGUAAAAAUAAAUAUACAUCUACAAGUGUGUGUAUAUACAUAGUUGCGAUUAGUGGUUGACGAUGAUAGGUUUCGAUUCAAUCCUAUUGAAGGUAUGGUUGUUGUCUUUCAGUAUAUGAAUUUACAUUAAAGAUAGUUGACAUAUGUGAUGAAAAGUGAGUGAUAAAAAAUAUGAAUGAAGAUCACUUAAUUGAAAGAACUAUUUCAGGGAGAGCUUGAACUUAUCUUUCAAGAGAUCCAUGAUUAUUUUCAGGUGAGCUUGAGUUUAUUUUUAAGUUAUGGUGAUAAUUUAUUAAAGUAGCUUUAGUGUUAAGUUACAAACUUUUGAAUCUCAAUAAUGUUUCUUAUCCGAGGCAAAUGAACUCCCAAACGUAGGUUGUAUUUGUCGAAUUGAGUUACCAAAGUCUUCUGCGUAAUUUGUCACUUUUGUGCUUUAACUAUUUCUGUAGUUAAUUGCUUUAGAUAUAGCUAAAUGUAAAGUUAUCUUACUUCUUUAAUAAAUAUUUUCAUAAUUUGUUAUUUCACAUAAUUAUAGAAACAACAAAAACACAAUAAAUUUGUUUUAAGAAAAAGGUUAAUAUAUAUAUAUAUAUAUAUAUUAUAUAUAUAAUAUAUAUAUAUAUAUAUAUAUAUAACAAAAAUGAAAAUAUUUUAGGUUGUGUAACAAAAUAAAAUAAAGUUCAUCAACCCUCGAUAACUUGGUGAAUUUUCUUUUAUAAAUUUCAUAUUUGUUCUUUCAGAACUUCUUCAUCUUCUUUUUUGGAAUUUAUCCUUCUUCAUCAUAACUCUCAUCUUUGGCGUGAUCUUUUUCAUAAAGACAAUAUUUUUUUCUAAUUCUUUUUUUGUUAUCAACUAUUGUGUCAUUUUUUUUCUUGUUUUCUUUUACCAAACAAUUGUUUAGAUUUAAUAUAAGAUCAUGUACCAAAAUUGACUGGAUUGGGAUUUGAUAAAAGAUUGUUUUCUUAUACUAUAUGUAAUCAAUUAGUUGUAGGGUAUUUUUAUUAUUUCAUAUCGUGGGCUUAUAGACUUCUAUAUUUUCGCGUUUUGGUGUGUUUUUUAAAAAGUCACCUAAAAAUCAAAUUUAGGAGACAUUUCUUUUAGAGAUGUGAGAAAGAAAAAAAAAAUCCUCUAUCACAUGUCAUAUAUCACAAAAUUGAGAAACAAAGAAAUAAAAAAUAUUAGCAAAAUAAAUAAAAAAAACUUCUAUCACAUGUCUUAUUUUCCCCCUCGACGAUGAGAAUAAUAAUAUUGUUAAAAGAAAAAUUAAUACAAUGUAUGUUAGUUGUUGGUUUAGUUUGACUUUAUAUACUAUAUAAAUGUAUAAACAAAUUUUAAAUAUAAUGUUACUUGAUAUAAUUUUGAUGUAAUAUAAGUGUGGAAAGAUUGAGUUGAUUUAUGAAUGGUUGGUGUUAUAAUAAAAUUACUAGUUAUCAUAAUAACAACAUUUAUGAGUUUUUUCAAAAAUAAAAAAAAUUGACUUGAACAAAACCAUUAAAAAAAAUUACACUUGAUUUUUAUAUGAAUUGUAUAUAUUUUAUCAAAUAUUUUAUUUUUCACAAUUUUCUCAAAAUUUAUCGUUUCUAAACCCUUAUUACUACAUGAUCUAUCAAUGAUAGAUUUUUAUUUGUAAUAAACUUUAAAGGAAAACUUUUAAAAAUUGCAAAUUUUACAAAAUACUUAUAACUUAUAGCAAAAAUUUUAAAUUCUAUCCCUAAUGGUCACUUAAUGCUACAAUAAUAGAACUAUCAUGGAUAUAAUCUAAAAUUUUUGCAACAAUUUGUAAAUAUUUUAAUUUAGUUUGUUAUUUUUUAAAAAUGUCCCUAAUUUGAAAAUUAUAUUUGAAUAUUUUUUUUUGUAUAGUAUUAUAUUUGUGAAUAUUUUAGAUGAGAUUGUUAUACGUGGACAACUCCAUCAAAUCAAUUAAUUAAUUAUGUGAAAAUGUGAAUAAUUUUCUUCAAUGAUUGAGAAUAUUAAAUUAGAGCCAAUUUCAAACUGGCAAGUGGGAAAUAUAAUUUUGGUGAUAAAAUUAAAAAAAGAAAGAAUCACGUGAAACAUAAAAUAAAAAGAAGAGUGGAAAAUUAUCAAAGUAAUGAGGCAUAAUUUGCUAUAUUUACAUGAAAGAAGAGUGCAUAAUUUAAUCUUAAUUUUAUUUCAAACUUUGGAUUUGUCUUUUUUCCAUAUAAAAGACCCUUUGGAAACAAGAAAUCUUACACAUAAUCCAAAACUCAAAUUGCAAAAGCAUCGUAUUGUUCACUUUUUUCUCCCUCCCUCUUAGAAACUCUCUCUUCCUUUUCAAUUUAGAAACACAACAUGGCAUCUCAUGACUGUGUGAAGGGGAAGAGGAUAACAAUUUUGAGCAUCAAUAAUGGUGGUGACCUUAGAGGCAUUAUUCCUUGAACUUUUCUAGCUUUUCUCGACUCUACAUGCUAGAUAAUAACAAUAAACCUUCAAUUCAAUUUUAUGUUUAAAAAUAUAGUUCAACUAAAUGUUAGUACAUUCAACUUGAUUACAAAAUAUUAAAUGUUGAGGAUCCCAUGAUUAAGGAUGAGCAUCCGUUGGCCAUAAUCGAUUUUCUGGCCAAAAUUUCAAACCGAUAGUGAAUUGAUUAUGGUUGGUUUAGUAAAUGUUCAAACCGACUUUGAUCACAAAAGAGUAUAAAUCGUUUAGGUUGGUUUAAACCUUUGAAAUAUUUUUUAAAUUUUUGUCGAAUUGUUUAAUUAGGUUGGUUGUGUUAGCAUAAAUACUUUAAAUUUAUAUAAUAGAUUAAUGUAAGAUCACUCAUGUAUGUUGGAUAAUUUUGUCAAAAGAAAAUAAUAAAUUUCUUUUUAUUAACGUGGUUAUUUAAAAUAAAGGAUAUUACUUAAAGAUAGAGAUAUUAUUUAAAAAUAAAAAAAUUUCCUUCGUAGUAGAAAUAUUUUAUCUAUAUCUUUGCAUAAAAAAGUUAAAGAGAAGAUAUAUUAGUGAGAUCUUUAAACAACUAAGCUAUGGGCUUAGAUCUGUGUGCACAUUGAUGGAAAAUUAAUUUCAGAGAAGUUUUCUCUUGAAUUAUUAUUUGGGAAGGUAGUCAUUGCCUUCUUUAUGAAGAUGGAUUACUGAAGUUCUGCAAGUGACGUUGCACCCGUUGAUAAGAAAUAUAAAAGAAUACUAAAAUAGUUGACUACGGUCAAUGAAUUCACGGGAGCCUGAGUUUAUCUUCAAAUAGAUUCAAACACAAAUUUAGGUGGAGUCUGUCUUUGAUUAAAUUUCUGUUAUUGUCGCCACAUGCCUGAGACGAUGCGGAGCGGCUGACGUCCUCAAAAGAGUUAGAUUUUUAAACAAAUAGGAGUCGCCACAAAUUUUUUUACGAUGUGAUUGGACAUCGAAAUAAAGUAAACAAUUUUUAAAAACUGGUAUGUGGAAAAUAGAGUUGAGUUCGAGAGUCAUUUGUGUGUGGAAAAUGUAUUAGGACCCCACAACACCCAUUUAGAAAAACAGUGACCAAAUUUCAAAUCUCGAAUUGAAAAUAUAUUUUUUUUAUUUUAAAAUUAUUGUCUUAUUUUACCUCUCAUUACUCCAAUAUUGAAGCAAUGAUCUCAUAAAAUAAGUUGAAUAAUAUUUCCUUAGUUAGACUAUAUAUUGAAGGAAACAUCUCACCUUAAGAAAAUGAGAAAUCAUUACAAUUUCUCAAAGUGUAUCAUGGACUAGUCUUCGAAUAAAUAUUUUUUUAAAAUAUUGAUUAAAUUCAUUUUUUCUUGGGAUCAAAUCUCGGACUCCCAAAGAUAUUGAUCACUCACCUUAAGAAUUCUAGAAAAUCAGACUCCCAAAUUUCCUAGAUUCCAUCAUAGGAUUUUUUUUUAGCGAAUUAGAAGUGUGUUAUUAAAAAAGUUGAUUAUGAAGUAUAAAUUUAUAUUUUAAACUCUUUUUUAAAAAAUUAAAUAGGAUAAUUUUAAAGUAAAAAUUUCUUAACGGCUAAAAAAGAAAAUUUAAGAAAGGCUUCAAAAUUAGGUCAAUAGAAAAUAAUGAGCAAAGAAAUCAAAUAUAUUAUACAACGAAUUAAGAAGUAACAGAAGAUUUUAUUUUUUUAAAAAUACUGAAAAUCGAAUCUUGAACUCCUAAAGAAACGAUUCUCUCACCUCAAAAAUUUAGAAAUAACGGACUCUCAUAUAUUUUUAAUUUCAUCGUCGAUUUUUUUUAGAAUGGUAGAAUAUAAAGAUAAAUAUGAUGUAAGAAAAAAAACAAUUAAUUGAUAUAAAAUACCGUGGUAAUAUUGCAAAGUGUAAACGAAAUAUUCAUAAAUUUAAUAUUACAUGAUAAUAAUUAUUAUACAUGCAACAAAAAUAAGUUAAAAUAAAUAAGAAAAAAAAAUAAAAACCAUAAACAACAAAAAAAUAAAAAAAGGAAAGAAGAAAGAAAGGAAAGAAAGAAGGAAUAAAAGGAAAUGGUUGUAAAACGAGCAAAUAUGCUUAAUUAGUUUUGAAAAAAAAAAGGUCACAUCUCGAUAAUCAUUUUAUUUAUUUUUUACAAUUAAAUCUAUGUUCUCAUAUUUUCUUACCGUGGUAUUACAUUUUUGUUCAGCGUAAGAGUUGGGUUGAUUUUUUAAAGUAUGAGUAAAAGUAGACAAAGCAUGGAAUUUAAAGAUGAUAGAUAUGUUUGUAAACUUAACUUUUAAAAUCUUAAAUAAAAAACAUAAAACAAAAUUUUAUCAAAUAACUUACUAAAAAAAUUCAAAUGAUUAUCGGACGAUACCUUAACUUUUUCAAUGUCAACUUCCAUAAAAUUUUUGGACAUGCACCACACGUAUCUAACUAGAGUAGAAACUUUUUAUUUGAAAAGUAACUUAUGGAGCUAUUCCCUUUAACACAAAACUAAAAUAUGUAUGUAUUUAUAAAAUAAAUAAAGCUAACAUAUCAACCCAUUAAGCAAUUUUAAUGAACAAAGAAAAUGGAUUCUUCAACUAUUUAUUUAUAGGUAGCCCUUAGCACAAAACUGAAAUAUAUAUUGUUAAAAAAAAUUCAGAAAAUUACACUAGAUGAAUUUGCAUUAUUUCAUUUUACUCACUCCAACAUUUAAAUUUAAUUUUUUGAGUAAUUAUUCUUCAAAAAAAGAGAGAACAAACUAUUUUUUUUUUUUUAUGGAAGCAACAACCCUAUCCAGAAGAUCGAAACGAAACUAUAUUGUGUGAAAAUAAAUUGAAUUUUAAAGACUCUAAUAAAGAAAAGAAAAGAAAGUUAUUUAUCAUUUUGUAUCCACAAGUCCACCAUUUGGUCACGUUUUAGUUAUUUAUCUUUCUGGUAAAGGAUAUAUAUCCUUCCAUUAAAGGGUCUGUAUUUUGUCCUUUAUAGUGAAGAACACAUCGAACUUGGAAAACCAAAUUAAUUUUAUUCAUAUGUUCAACUAUGGCGUACGUAGUUAAUGUUAAGGUGCGUGUGAGAGUGGGAGCAAAUGCAUGUGAGUUUUGUACCAAAGAAGAAAGGUUACAUUGAAAUGAUUGAUGGUCUUUUGGAUGAGAUGAUGAUGAAAUUUACACACAUUUGGUUUCAAACCUCAAAAACUUAGGUCAAAUUCAAUUUAGGUUUAAUUUUUUUUAAAAAAGUUAUAUGAUCAAAAUAAUCUUUAGUUAUAUCUCAAUGAAAGUUAUUAACUGCAGAAAUAGCUAAAGCAUGAAAGCAACAAGUAACGCAUAAGAGUUUGAUAACUCAAUUCGAUAAAUACGGAUUACAGAUUACAUGUAGGGAGUUUUUUUUUUGCUCAGAUAAGAAAUAUUAUUAAGAUUGAUAUGUGUCUAAUUUAAUACUAAAGCUACAAUAAUAAUAUCUCUACAACUUAAAUGUAUAAACUCAAACUCUCCUGACGGUAAACGUGAAUCUUCUAAAAAACAAGUUUAGGUUCUCCCUGAAUUAAUGGAUUGACUUCUCAAUCAUGUGGUCUUCAUUCAUAUUUCUUAUCACUCAUAAUUUAUUGCAUUGGUGUUAAUAUAUCAAAAGGCAACAAUCAUACUACCUUCAACAGACUAACUUGAUGAAGCAAAAAUUUGUCUUAAUGAAGUUCGGGUUAGUCGUCUUUUUCCACACGCAACAAUCGCAAUGAAAACCACACACACCUAUAUAUUUAGUAAACAACACUAAAAUUUAAAAAAAAAAACAAAAAAAAUUCAUUAACUUUUUUUUUUAUCUUCAAUCUUCAAAGUUUCAAAUCUUAAAAUCAUCAAAUUAAAUAAAAUAGAAUUGAGUCGCAAUGUGAGAAGUAUCAACAAGUUUUAUAUAAUUUAUAUAUUAAAUUUGUAUCAUAUUAAUUAUUAAAGGUUUGCAUUCUAAUUAAAUCUCAAUCUAUAAUGGUAAAUUAAAUACGAAGACAAUUCAAAUAAUUUGGACUACUCAAUCCAUUUAUAAGAGUUGAAUUGAGUUAGUUUAAAAUUUGGGUUUGGUCGGAUAAAUUUUUUUUAGUUGGGUUGGAUCUCAGGUUGAGUGUUGAAAAAUUCGGUUCAACACAAUCUAACUCGAAUUAAUAUAUAUAUAUAUAUGAAUGAUGCAUUUAACAAAAUAAAUUAAAUUUUUUUAGAUAAAUUAAAAAUAUAUUUAUAUAUUAAAAUUUUAGAUUCUAUACAUGAUACUAGUCAUAAUUUGCUAUAGGUUAUAAAUGUUUAGUCAAAUUUGCCAUUUUUUAAAAAAAUUUCUAUAUAUAUUAAUUUUUAUUUUUCUAUAUUUAUGUUUAUAUUAUAUUUUAUUAUUAAUUUAAGUAAAUAGUAAAUUUAAGCCAAGCCUCAUAUCUCUCUAGCCCACUCUCUUUUUCUUGGCUCGACUUCUCAUCUCAUACCUCUCAGUCUUUUAAGAGUUUAUAAAACAAUACGACUCCACAACCCAACUCAAUCUAACCUAUAUUUUAUGGGUUGAGUUAGGAAUAUUAUUUAAGUUAUUUGGGUUGUCAAUCCAACCAACCCAAAAGUAUGAAUUGGAUUGGGAAUGUCCCCAAAGAACCUAACUCAAUCCUACUCGUUUACACCUUUGUUAAAUACAAGAUGACUAAUUUAAUUUGACAUCAAUUAUUGACCUAUCUAAUGUCACCCUGUUGAAAGGGAACUUGAAAAGUUUUUUUUGAAUAAAUUAAAUUACAUUACCAACUUAAUUAAUAAUUCAUAAAUUGAAUGUAUUGAAUUUUAAAGUAUUAAUUUAUUUCAUAUGAAAAUGAGAAUAAAGGUGUAAUGAAUUAAAAUGGAAAAUGACAAAGUUGUCAGUUAAUUAAUUAUAUAGAUAUUGAUGAGAACGGGGAAAACGUGAGAAAAAUUGAUAGACCAAACCCUACAAAAAAUGGACGGCCAAAACUUAAUCAAUAAUUCUAUGUAUUUAGUUCUUAUCAUCACUUUCCAUUUCCCAUUCAUUUUCUCCAUAAUUCUUCCAUUUUCUUCGCCUUCAUUCCAUUUUUCAUUAAAUCAUCAUUUUUCUUGUCUAGUACAACAAUAAAUUUAUAAAUUUUGAAGAAUUCUUCACCUUUUCCACAUUUUAUUCACACAUAUCAAUUAAAUAGAAAAUUUACAUUUUAGAUUAUGUAAAAUAAAAUUAAUUUUAUAUCUAAGAGAUGAUUGAAUAUAUCAACUAGGAAUUGUUAGAAAAAAAUACAUUUUGAAUACGUUAUUAAAACUUAUUAGAUACAAAUUAAAAGGGUAAUUGACUUAUUAUAUUCUGAAAAAAAUGCAUAAACAAAAUAUGCAUAAAGUGAUCUCUUUAUCUUUAUUCUCCACCUUCCAUACUGAUCUCUUCCACAUGUUUAUUCUGUGUUUUUAAUUUCCUCUGUCACUCUCAAUAUUUUUGGUAUUUAGAUUGACUUUUCAAAACCGUAGAAUUUUAAGAUUGAGAAUUCUUUAUAAAAUUUCUAAUGAAUGGUUGUUGAGGAAGAAGGGUGUACAUUUAUACGAAUUGACAGGAUAAGUUAGUUGCUGUAGUUACUCACAAGAGUUGGUUUCUUUGCUAUCUCUUUGCCUGAUAGCUCAAGGUUGUUCUUUGCUAUCUCUUUGCCUGAUAGCUCAAGGUUGUUCACAUUGGAUUGGUGCCUUCACGAUUCUCAAUUGCACUGUCUAGAUUGAGAGCUGAAAAUCAAAUAAUUCCUUAUUGGCCUCUUUGUCUUGAGUUGAUCUGCCAUGCAUGUCAUUGUUAACACUUCAAAGUCUCCUCAGUUUUAGAGAGUCUAGAGCCACAAGGUUAAGCUCCUUGUGCGUUGAAUGAAAUAUAUAGUUGUACCUGUGAAAACACAUACUUACUUAUGGAAACAAUGAAUAUGAAAACACAUAAACCAUAGAUAAUACAUCAAAUUUUGUAACUCAAUUCCAUGACACAGAAUCUACACCUAAAAAUCUUUAGUCCAAUUGAAAUGAUUAUUUUAUAAAGAUUGAAAAGGAUCACAAGUACAUAACUUAUCAAGAAUCAAAUAUCUUAAUCAUAUGACUUUUCCAAAUAAACGUUUAGGCUUUCUUAAACUACUUAAUAUGUGAACAAAUAUAAUUCGUUUAGAUCGUAUGUUUCAUGCUUCACCUUUACGUCUCAAUGUGCAGGCUCCCCCUUGUGAGAGACUUCUCAUAAUAAUCUUUAAUGUUAGGCUCCUCUAACUUGCACGGAUCUUCUCAACCAAUUGACUCACAAUGCCAAAGUAUUCAACAUCACACCAUGAGUACUUUGUAAAAGGCUUUCUCAACACAUAAAUAUCUUGAUGCACGUUUGCUCACACUUCUGUCUUCAAACCACAACAAUAUCACACGGCCACAAGCUUAUAUUUUUUAGGUCACACGUCGUAACAAAAACAAAAGUUAAUUCCCUCAAUUUAUUAUUAAAUAUCAAUCAUAUAUUUAUUAAUAAAUAUUAACCAACUUUAAGAGAAAACAACCACAACCACAACCACAACCACAACCGAUAUAAUAUCUUUAUUAACGAGAAUAACUUUAUUAAUAAAUAUUAUCCAUAUUAAUUCCAUACCAACAAAACCUUAAGUAGCAGUACCAAAGUAAGACAAUCAAAAACAAAAACAAGAAAUUACAGCAUAAAUUAAAAUCAGUGUUACAAUAAUAAUCUUCUGAAUGAGGUUACCAAAACCCACAAUGAAUAGUGACUAAAACGAUUAAAAUCAGUGAUAAAAAAAUUGGGGAUCAAUGAUCCAGAUGAAGAAGUGAUGAAUAAUGAUGAUUUGAUUAAUAUAGAGACUAAAAUUGAACGUACGAGAAAAUAAAUGAUAGUUUACUAAACUCAAAUAAUUGGUAAGAACCAUCAAUCAUGACGUUUAUUUUCUUUUUUUAAAAAAAUUAAAUAUUGUUGGAACAGAUUAAAUGUGAAGCAAAUUUUGGAUAAGCAAGUGGGGAUCGGAUCGAAGACAUUAUUUUUGGCUAUGGCGAUAAAAUUAAAUAUUAGGAGCACGUGAAACAUAAUAAUUAAAAUAAAUAAUAUAGUUGAGAGUUUCUUUUGGUUAUAAAAGACCUCUUUGGGGACACAUAAUCCCAAACAACUCAAUUUGCAAAAGCAACUUACUAUUAUCUUUCUCUCUUCUUCCUCCUAGACCCAUCCUUUCUGUUUACAAAUAAACAUUAUGGAAGACAAGUUUGCUAAAUUUGAGAAGGGAAAGAAGAUAACAAUUUUAAGUAUAGAUGGUGGUGGCAUUAGAGGCAUCAUUCCCGGAACUAUUCUAGCUUUUCUCGAGUCUAAACUUCAGGUAAUAAUGAUAUAUAUAUAUAUACUUAUAUAGUACUUUAUUUUUCUUUCAAAACUAAAGGUUGACUUAAAUUAGUGAAAGUAUUACUCGUCUAUACUCAAACUCUUUACGAAUUUGUAAGAAAUUUUUUGGUUUUUAUUGAUUGGACGAACGAUUUGGUUAGGAAUUGGAUGGACCAGAUGCAAGAGUAGCAGAUUACUUUGAUGUAAUUGCUGGUACAAGCACAGGUGGUUUGGUUACUUCCAUGCUUACAGCUCCUAACGAGAAUAAUCGACCUUUGUACGCUGCAAAAGAUUUAACCCGCUUCUACAUCGAACAUGGACCAAAAAUCUUCCCUCAACGAAAGUCAGUAGUUUUCUCCUCUUUUCAAUUGUCAAAAGCUUUCCUCUGUAAGAAAUAAAUUAUUAUAGCCUCCUAAAAUAUUAUAUUUAAGUGAUUAUAAUUUGUAUGCAUAGGGUAAACUAUUUUAGUUUAAGAAUGAGAAGAAAAUAGUAAAAAUAAAAUAGAAAAUAUAAUAAAUUGCAAGUUUUGAAAUAAUGUUCACCAUACAGAUGUGCGGUUAUUCUGGUCUUACCGUUUUCGUUUGCUGAUAUUGAUGUUUUGUGGUGUGAAAACAGUCAUUUCUUAAGUUCUGCGGUGAAUAUGUUUGGAAAAGUUAUGGGCCCAAAGUACGAUGGCAAAUACUUGAGAUCAUUGAUAAACAGAUUGCUUCGAGAUAUAACACUUAAGGAAACACUAACGCAAGUCAUUAUUCCUGCUUUCGACAUUAAGCUUCUUCAACCUGUGAUUUUCAGCACACUCGAUGUAUGAAAAUUUAAUUAAAAACGAUUUGAUAAACAGUUUAUAUUCCUUUAAUUUUUUUUCAAUAAUUAAUAAAUCGGAGGAAUUAAUUAUUCAGGCAAAAUGGGAUGCGUUAAAGAAUCC
RNAcentral lists this long non-coding RNA (13886 nucleotides) under Cucumis sativus (cucumber). RNAcentral describes it as "long non-coding RNA (CSAT_LNC000672)". Lineage: Eukaryota; Viridiplantae; Streptophyta; Magnoliopsida; Cucurbitales; Cucurbitaceae. The record is from RNAcentral.